UCAUUAAAUCAGUAUCGUUUAUUGAUAGUACCUUACUACUUGGAUAACCGUGGUAAUUCUAGAGCUAAUACAUGCUGAAAACCCCAACUUCGGGAGGGGUGUAUUUAUUAGAUAAAAAACCAACGCCCUUCGGGGCUUCUUGGUGAUUCAUGAUAACUUCACGGAUCGCAUGGCCUUGCGCCGGCGACGGUUCAUUCAAAUUUCUGCCCUAUCAACUUUCGAUGGUAAGGUAUUGGCUUACCAUGGUUUCAACGGGUAACGGGGAAUUAGGGUUCGAUUCCGGAGAGGGAGCCUGAGAAACGGCUACCACAUCCAAGGAAGGCAGCAGGCGCGCAAAUUACCCAAUCCCGACACGGGGAGGUAGUGACAAUAAAUACUGAUACAGGGCUCUUUUGGGUCUUGUAAUUGGAAUGAGUACAAUUUAAACCUCUUAACGAGGAACAAUUGGAGGGCAAGUCUGGUGCCAGCAGCCGCGGUAAUUCCAGCUCCAAUAGCGUAUAUUAAAGUUGUUGCAGUUAAAAAGCUCGUAGUUGAAACUUGGGCCUGGCUGGCAGGUCCGCCUCACCGCGUGUACUUGUCCGGCCGGGCCUUUCCUUCUGGAGAACCUCAUGCCCUUCACUGGGUGUGUUGGGGAACCAGGACUUUUACUUUGAAAAAAUUAGAGUGUUCAAAGCAGGCCUUUGCUCGAAUACGUUAGCAUGGAAUAAUAGAAUAGGACGUGCGGUCCUAUUUUGUUGGUUUCUAGGACCGCCGUAAUGAUUAAUAGGGACAGUCGGGGGCAUCAGUAUUCAAUUGUCAGAGGUGAAAUUCUUGGAUUUAUUGAAGACUAACUACUGCGAAAGCAUUUGCCAAGGAUGUUUUCAUUAAUCAGUGAACGAAAGUUAGGGGAUCGAAGACGAUCAGAUACCGUCGUAGUCUUAACCGUAAACUAUGCCGACUAGGGAUCGGGCGAUGUUCUUUUUCUGACUCGCUCGGCACCUUACGAGAAAUCAAAGUUU
Molecule: ribosomal RNA, 998 nt
Filed under: Neoascochyta dactylidis
Lineage: Eukaryota; Fungi; Ascomycota; Dothideomycetes; Pleosporales; Didymellaceae
Description: SSU rRNA
Rfam family: Eukaryotic small subunit ribosomal RNA
Source: RNAcentral